Molecule: long non-coding RNA, 856 nt
Organism: Populus nigra (black poplar)
Lineage: Eukaryota; Viridiplantae; Streptophyta; Magnoliopsida; Malpighiales; Salicaceae
Exons: 3
Source: RefSeq, a predicted model, not a curated record
UUCACAGGGAAAAUUCGGUAGAUCACGGGCAUUAUAUCCACGAUGCCAUUCCUGAAGCCACGAUCUCUCACCUCCACGAUGCCAGCCAUUUCUGGAGGCCGAGACACAAGACCUUCUCUGGCUUUAUAAAAGCCAAAGAAAGGCCUCAGCAAAAGGGGGAGGCAGAACACGAAGGAGGAAAAAAAACAAAGCAAAAGGCACAAAUUCAUGGACGAGCGGGAGAAACAGGGGGUGAGAACCAGAGAAAAAAAUGGAGAGGCAGAGCACGAACCGAAACAAACACAGGGGGGACGAGCUGGAGGACAUACCAAGAGAGAGUCAAGAGAACAGAGAGAACAGAACACAACAAGGGGAGCAGAAACAGAACAGUAGAAAAAGAAAGAGCAAGGAUCAGGAAGGAAGCUUGAAGACAGGAGCUUCGCCCAGUGUCUGCCAAUUCGUGCAAAGUCUCUGCAAAACCAGGGUCUUUGCGAUCUCUCUUUCACUUCUAUAUAUGCUGCCAAAGACAUCAAGGAUUUUUGCCUGAAUCAGUGUCCGAAGCUCUUUCCACAACCCAGGUAAUCAAAGCAUUGGCGGAAAAAAUACGGGGAAAAUAUCUACAAGGUCUUGCUAAGGAAAAACUAGGAAACAGGAAACUGAACCAUCUAAUUUCGACAACGAUCCUAUGUAAGAAUCAAUGGAUAUGAUCAUAUCCAAGCUCAGAAAGAAUAGGUAGGUUUGGAUAUGUGUGUGUAUUGAUGUAUGUAUGUAUAGCCAAAACAACGAUAAACACGUUGAGUUGCACACGACAAGGCAAGAAGAACAAAAGGUAAAUAAAAUUAUAAGUAGAAGAUGAGCAAGCAAAAUAUUUUUAAAA